This is an RNA transcript of Mesoplodon densirostris (Blainville's beaked whale), 3683 nucleotides long. It is a transcript of the gene named engulfment and cell motility 3, with no coding region annotated. Lineage: Eukaryota; Metazoa; Chordata; Mammalia; Artiodactyla; Ziphiidae. The record is from RefSeq and is a predicted model, not a curated record. The transcript has 23 exons.
ACCUGUUCUGUGCUGGGAGAGCAGGGGAAAGGGGCUUAGCCCUCUCCACUGUGGAGCCAAAGUGUUUGCCACUCCUUUCUGGGGGCCUUCCCCUACCUGGUAGCCUCCCCCGGCCCUCCCAGAGUUCAGUUUCAGCUGCCACCCAGUGGCACAGAUCCAAGGACCCUCCCUCACCCUCCUAGGGCAGUGCAUCCAGCCCCACUGCCCUAUACCUGCCAGCCCCUCCCCCUCCAGGAGGAAGCAUGGGGUGGGGCUGGACACUUGCCAGCACCUAGCCUAGUCUCCUUCACUUCUCCCCACGCGGAUCACACAGCUCCUUCUGUACCGCUCGUGUGCCCCCUUUCUGCUGGACCCUUGGCCCUGAGAACCUGUUGGGGCGGGCAGGUUGCUAACAGGAGGAAUGGAGAUCUCUAGCUAGGAAUCUGGUCGGGAGAGUCCCUGAGGAUUGGCCCGGCCUCCUCCUGCCCCACAGUCCCCCCUCUUGUUUAUUCAUUUAUCCUCAUUUAGAGCCAUUUGCAGAGAUUUAGAAAGAUUUGCAGUAACGAAUGGAUUCCUAUAUAAAGAUUAUUUUUAUACUUUUUGCAACAAAAGGAAAUUGUAAUAUUUGUACAGUGUCCAAAUGAAUAAAGACCAUGCCUAAGGCUGUCUUUGAUCUGGUUCUUUCAGGGAUCCUCCCUGGGACUGUGCUGGAUUGGUGGUGGGAACGGGCGGGUCAACUUUCUGGAAAAGGUGUGGCGGUGCUGACAGCCCGCCCUCCCCACCCCCACCUGCCGCACCUGGGGGCGGGGCGGGGCCCGCCUCUGCGGGGGCGGGGCAGGCACCCUCCUACCCUCCUACCCCCGGGACUCUAACCCGGAACUAGCCUCGGCUCUGGCUCCCUUGGGAAGGCCGCGGCGCCUUGUCGGGAGUGGGAGCCUGGGCUGUCAGUGUGGGCCACGGGAGCCAAGUGUCGGGCAGAGGAACACCUUCGUCCUCAGGGGCCUCAGACCAGGUGUGCCCUCGGCGGGAAGUUGCACAUCUGGAAAGUACAGAGGCCCCCACCUCGGGUAGACGAUGGCGCCCCCGCGGAAUGUAGUGAAGAUCGCCGUCCAGAUGCGCGACGCCAUCCCGCAGCUCAUCCAGCUGGACCAGGCGAAACCCCUGGCCGCUGUGCUGAAGGAGGUGUGCGACGCGUGGAGCUUGCCUCACUCUGAGCGCUAUGCCCUACAGUUUGCUGAUGGGCACAGAAGAUACAUCACUGAGAACAACCGCACGGAGAUCAAGAAUGGCAGCAUCCUGUGCCUCAGUACUGCCCCAGACCUUGAGGCUGAGCGGUUGUUGCGUGGGCUGCAGAGCGAGAGUUGUGAAGGGCGCCGGGAAGCCCUUCGGCACCUCGUCCUGCUGGCCCCAGACAUGACCUUCACCCGGGAAGUCAUCAGCCGUGAUGGGCUUCAGAGACUAGGCUCCAUCAUUGAGGAUGGGGACGACCUAGGAGAGGUGCUGGCCCUCGCACUGAGGGCCUUCUUGGAGCUCAUGGAGCAUGGCGUGGUGUCCUGGGAGACGCUCAGCAUCCCCUUUGUUAGGAAGGUGGUGUGCUAUGUGAACAUGAACCUCAUGGAUGCAUCUGUGCAGCCCCUGGCCCUGGGGUUGCUGGAGAGUGUGACCUUGAGCAGCCCUGCCCUGGGCCAGCUGGUCAAGAGUGAGGUGCCACUGGAUAGGCUGCUGGUGCACCUACAGGUGAUGAACCAGCAGCUGCAAACCAAGGCCAUGGCGCUGCUGACGGCUUUGCUGCAGGGGGCCAGCGCUGCUGAACGUAAGCACAUGCUUGACUACCUGUGGCAGAGAAACCUUCGCCAGUUCAUCUACAAGAACAUCAUCCACAGUGCAGCGCCACUGGGCGACGAGAUGGCUCACCACUUGUACGUACUGCAGGCCCUUACGCUCGGGCUGCUGGAGCCACGCAUGCGGACGCCACUGGACCCCUACAGCCCGGAGCAGCGGGAGCAGCUGCAGGCCCUGCGUCAGGCUGCCUUUGAACCGGAGGGGGAGUCCCUGGGCACUGGGCUGAGUGCUGACCGUCGCCGUUCCCUCUGUGCCCGCGAGUUCCGCAAACUGGGCUUCUCUAACAGCAACCCUGCGCAGGACCUGGAGCGCGUGCCCCCUGGCCUGCUGGCCCUGGACAACAUGCUCUACUUCUCCAGACACGCGCCCAGCGCCUACAGCCGGUUUGUGUUGGAGAACAGCAGCCGUGAGGACAAGCACGAGUGUCCCUUUGCCCGGAGCAGCAUCCAGCUGACUGUGCUGCUGUGUGAACUGCUCCAUGUCGGGGAGCCCUGCUCCGAAACUGCCCAGGACUUUUCGCCCAUGUUCUUUGGCCAAGACCAGAGCUUCCAUGAGCUCUUCUGUGUGAGCAUCCAGCUGCUGAAUAAGACCUGGAAGGAGAUGCGGGCCACUCAGGAAGACUUUGAUAAGGUCAUGCAAGUGGUGCGGGAGCAGCUGGCCCGCACGCUGGCCCUGAAGCCCAGCUCCCUGGAGCUCUUCCGAACCAAGGUGAACGCGCUCACCUACGGGGAGGUCCUGCGCCUGCGGCAGACAGAGCGGCUGCAUCAGGAAGGCACACUGGCCCCUCCCAUUCUGGAGCUGCGGGAGAAGCUGAAGCCAGAGCUCAUGGGCCUGAUCCGCCAGCAGCGUUUGCUCCGCCUCUGCGAGGGGACACUCUUCCGCAAGAUCAGCAGCCGACGGCGCCAGGACAAGCUGUGGUUCUGCUGCCUGUCCCCCAACCACAAGGUGCUGCAGUAUGGGGACGUGGAGGAGGGCGUUGGCCCACCCGCCCCCGAGAGCCUGCCUGAGCAGCUCCCUGUGGCCGACGUCAGGGCACUGCUGACAGGCAAGGACUGCCCCCACGUCCGGGAGAAGGGCUCGGGAAAGCAGAACAAGGACGUCUGUGAGUUAGCUUUCUCAGUCAGCUAUGACCACGGGGAGGAGGAGGCAUACCUCAACUUCAUUGCCCCAUCCAAACGGGAGUUCCACCUGUGGACAGAUGGGCUGAGCGCCCUGCUGGGCAGUCCCAUGGGCAGUGAGCAGACACGGCUGGACCUGGAGCAGCUGCUGACCAUGGAAACCAAGCUGCGGUUGCUGGAGCUGGAGAAUGUGCCCAUCCCUGAGCAGCCACCCCCCGUCCCCCCGCCCCCCACCAACUUCAACUUCUGCUACGACUGCAGCAUCGCUGAACCUUGACAGUGAGGGCUCGGUUCUGUCACCGCUUUCAUCGGCCUUCCUGGCCCCCAGAGCACCCACCCUCACUCCCCUCCCCAGACUGCAGUGGUCACCAAUCACUUGGCUCGUGAGGCAGCACUCGGCCACGUCGAGGCUCUGCAGCUCCCGCAGGCCCCCUAGGGCUGAGCAUCUCACAUCCGUCAGCUGCUGCAGCGUCCUCAAGCUCAGGUGCCACAGGCCCCACAGGCCCUGGCUCACAGCCAAGAGUGCCCCGUCCGCCAGUUCUGAGCAGCCGCUGAGGUCCAGGGAGAACAUCAUCAAAAGGGAACCAGAAGGGUAGAAAUGACGCCUAACACGCGCUCACUGCAAGAUACUUAUCAACAGGAUUCUCCCAGGAAGACGCACGGAACUCAUUCCCAGGUGUGGAGAAUCAGCCUGGCUUCUGCCCCAGAGAGAAGCAGCUGACUAUGGCUGUCCUCACGGGAAGG